AGUGAACGCUGGCGGUAGGCCUAACACAUGCAAGUCGAACGGCAGCACAGUAAGAGCUUGCUCUUACGGGUGGCGAGUGGCGGACGGGUGAGGAAUACAUCGGAAUCUACUUUUUCGUGGGGGAUAACGUAGGGAAACUUACGCUAAUACCGCAUACGACCUACGGGUGAAAGCAGGGGAUCUUCGGACCUUGCGCGAUUGAAUGAGCCGAUGUCGGAUUAGCUAGUUGGCGGGGUAAAGGCCCACCAAGGCGACGAUCCGUAGCUGGUCUGAGAGGAUGAUCAGCCACACUGGAACUGAGACACGGUCCAGACUCCUACGGGAGGCAGCAGUGGGGAAUAUUGGACAAUGGGCGCAAGCCUGAUCCAGCCAUACCGCGUGGGUGAAGAAGGCCUUCGGGUUGUAAAGCCCUUUUUGUUGGGAAAGAAAAGCAGCAGGUUAAUACCCCGCUGUUCUGACGGUACCCAAAGAGUAAGCACCGGCUAACUUCGUG
RNAcentral lists this ribosomal RNA (493 nucleotides) under uncultured bacterium. Its description in RNAcentral is "partial 16S ribosomal RNA". It matches the Rfam family "Bacterial small subunit ribosomal RNA", at positions 29 to 507 of the family's 1533-position model. The record is from RNAcentral.